RNAcentral lists this ribosomal RNA (460 nucleotides) under uncultured bacterium. RNAcentral describes it as "bacterial SSU rRNA". It matches the Rfam family "Bacterial small subunit ribosomal RNA", at positions 327 to 800 of the family's 1533-position model. The record is from RNAcentral.
GCUGUGGAACUCCUACGGGAGGCAGCAGUGGGGAAUCUUGGACAAUGGGCGCAAGCCUGAUCCAGCCAUGCCGCGUGAGUGAAGAAGGUCUUCGGAUUGUAAAGCUCUUCUGCCAGGGACGAUAAUGACGGUACCUGGAGAAUAAGCCCCGGCAAACUACGUGCCAGCAGCCGCGAUAAUACGAAGGGGGCUAGCGUUGCUCGGAAUCACUAGGCGUAAAGGGUGCGUAGGCGGGUCUUUAAGUCAGGGGUGAAAUCCUGGAGCUCAACUCCAGAACUGCCUUUGAUACUGAGGAUCUUGAGUUCGGGAGAGGUGAGUGGAACUGCGAGUGUAGAGGUGAAAUUCGUAGAUAUUCGCAAGAACACCAGUGGCGAAGGCGGCUCACUGGCCCGAUACUGACGCUGAGGCACGAAAGCGUGGGGAGCAAACAGGAUUAGAAACCCCUGUAGUCCUACCACGU